GGAAGUGAUGUGCUCCGCCAGCUUCCGCCAGCGGCCCGGCCGCGGCCAUGGCGGGGUAUUUGACUCCCCGCUUCAGGAGGAUCCACAGCCAGAGCGAGUUGCAGCCGCGGCGGGGGAGCGGGCGGCGCCGAGAUUGUGAUGGUCCUUUUCAAGCAACUCAGCUGUGGAAUAGUAUUAUACAUGCCCUUCACAAUCAAGUGGAAAUCAAAAGACGUAGACAACACCUGAAAACAUAUAGAAACUGUUUCACUGGCUCCAAUGCUGUUGAUGUGGUACUGAGCCAUCUUAUGCAAAGCAUGUACCUAAGCUGCAAUGAUAUUUCUCGGCUGAAGGGAGUCCGUGUAUGCCAAGCGUUGAUGGAUCACAAAGUGUUUGAGCCAGUUGGAGCCAAGCUUUACUUAUUCAAGAAUGGGAAAGAAACAGAGUUUGAAGACACAGACACUAGUCUCUAUAGAUUUGUAAAUAGCAGUCUUGAUUCUCUUCUUCCAAGAAAAAAUAAGGACAAUGAAAGCUUCUCUCCUGAACGAAUCUGCAAACAGAAAACAAAAAGAUGUUCCAACAGAACAAAGUGUGACGCAACACUUUCAAACCCCUUAGCAUUGGAAGUAGCUGAUAAAAAGAGGGUUGAGGAGCUUCUUCAAUCAAUAUACGUUCACGCAUCUUCACCUCCGAAGAUCAUGGUUAAUGAACCAACUCGCCUGCUUUCAAAAGGAGUAAUAGAAGAUGUCUGGAAACAGCAAACUCUGCUACGACUGCUGCAGUUAAUUGAUGUUCCCCUUCUAGAAGAUAUCUUGGUGUCUUCAGUGAAGACAAAAUCAGACAGUUUUGGCAAAGAAGACGACAUGAUUAUCUCAAAUACUUUCCUGGACAGAGAGGUUACAUGUAGCUUAAACUUGCCCGAGCUUGACCGAUGGCUCUAUGCUGCCAUUGAAUGCUUGGAGUAUUUUCCUGACCAGUUCCUAGUGAUGGUUAGUCAGCAGUUACCUCAAAGCACUAACAACCUCAGCAGUCUGAAUACAUACAAAAAGAUUCUUUUUGACGUUAUAAUGAAGUAUUACACUCAAAAGAAGGACUCUCUUCUUGCCACUCAGGAUCUUGAUAUUCACUUAGGAAUUAUAGAACUUAUAGAAAAAGGAAAAACAGAUCACGCUCUAGAGGCAUUACAACUUUAUUUAAAAUUAUUAGCACCAAAUAUUAGUGAAGAACUACACAGGCUCCUUACAUUCCUAGCCAUUGCGUCGGAAUCUCAUGGCUACAGAUUGCAAAAACAAUUUGAGAACAGAUUUGUGAUCAUCAAGACUUGUACAAAGUUCAUCUUGCAAAACAGGACACUGUCAAAACUACAGGCAGAACUGCUGACUCAGUUUCUUAUGGACAAUCACUCUGAGCUCUUCAAGGCUCCUUUAACUCUUCUGGAACUAACAAGUAGGAGACUUCAGAGUUUGCUAGAAGGGCAAGAUCCAGAUAUCAAUUCAGUUCAGUGUUCUGAGAAUCACAUAUUGUGAAGCCAAAGAAUCCAGAGAUGAGCAACAGAGGAAAGGCUGCCUGUCUGUAAUAUUCUUGGAGCCGGGGUGAUCUCCAUGAGCACGUUGAACAGACAACUGAAGUACAAACCCCAUGCUACGUUUUUCCUACUAAGUUUUGGAGUCCCAGUCUGUAAAUGCAUAUAGGUUCCAUCUACUUGUUGAAAUAGUUAGUUUGAUCUGAUCGUAAGCUCUCCGGCAUGGCAUAUUCCUGUUUGCCUGUGUGCCUCAUAGUCUGGUGCCUCAUUUUCCCUUUUCUCAUGAAGGAGACAGCAGAAAAAUCUUUCCUAGAAGCUGUUGAGCAUUCUUAGCUGGUGAACUUCUUAAAUCCAGGUGGGAGCAGGAGGGAAGGCUGGGAGACCCAGAUAAGAAAAGGGGUCUGUCUAUGCAGGAGGGUAAUCCUUAGGUCUGCUGGAAAUAAAAAAGACUAAAACCAGUGCGAGAACUCUGGGGUUGGUUUGAAUCUAGUAAGACACUUGAAACCACAAGACUAAAGGAUCCAUGCUGAAGUUUUAAGAGUUAAAUCUCUUUCCCAGUUGUUAAGCUUCCCUUUUUGAAAGAGCUGUCUUUUUUUCUUCAUCUGAUUCUACUAAACCAUAAAAAAUAUUGAUGUUUGACAAACUUACUGUAAAAGAAGGGGAGGACAGCUCCAUGUGAAAACUCUUGACAGCUCAGGUUAAUACUACUAUGUGAAGCCUAAAGAUGAUGGUGUUUGUAAAGAAGAUUUGUAAGCAUUUUUUCCCCUUUAUGCAACUGACACUUGUUCAACCAAAUUGCUCUCUAAUAUCUAUGGGAAGGAAAAGAGUGGAGAAGUAGCUGAAUGCCAGUCUUUCCUCAGGCCAGAACUCACCUGCCCAGUGAUGGGGCUUGAGUCCUUGCAGGACAGUACUUUACUGCAGAGAUUCACAACCUUUUUAUAGCUAAGAUAUGCUUGAGUUGAGUAUUUCUCAGGGUUGUUCCUUGCUCUGCCCUCACCCUGAAUCACUGCCUCUUGCAUCAGCUCUGCUUCUGCUGCCCAAACCAUGCUCAACUGUCUAUUCACCUAGAAGCUCCUAAAUUCUAUUCCUGAUUUUUGAAGUGUGGUUUACAGGCAACUGUUUCUCCAAAGUAUUUGUUCACUUGCAUUAGAUACUGGGCCUUGCCACAGAUCUGAUUUACUUACAGGGAAUCUUUGGAUCCUGACAAAUGCAAGGCUUCACCUUCUGUCAGCGCAUUACACCUAAAGAAUAUGAAGAUCAAAAACAACAAACCGUUCAGCAUCUUCUAGCACUGAUUCAAGAGAUGGACAAUGACCCUACUGUUCCUUUGAAGCAAAAGAAGAAAUUAAUCAAAGAAUUCC
Molecule: RNA transcript, 2862 nt
Organism: Corvus hawaiiensis (hawaiian crow)
Lineage: Eukaryota; Metazoa; Chordata; Aves; Passeriformes; Corvidae
Gene: DEPDC4
Gene name: DEP domain containing 4
Exons: 10
Source: RefSeq, a predicted model, not a curated record